ACUCCUACGGGAGGCAGCAGUGGGGAAUAUUGCACAAUGGGCGCAAGCCUGAUGCAGCCAUGCCGCGUGUAUGAAGAAGGCCUUCGGGUUGUAAAGUACUUUCAGCAGUGAGGAAGGUGGGUAUGUUAAUAGCAUACUCAUUUGACGUUAGCUGCAGAAGAAGCACCGGCUAACUCCGUGCCAGCAGCCGCGGUAAUACGGAGGGUGCGAGCGUUAAUCGGAAUUACUGGGCGUAAAGCGCAUGCAGGUGGUUUGUUAAGUCAGAUGUGAAAGCCCGGGGCUCAACCUCGGAAUUGCAUUUGAAACUGGCAAACUAGAGUACUGUAGAGGGGGGUAGAAUUUCAGGUGUAGCGGUGAAAUGCGUAGAGAUCUGAAGGAAUACCGGUGCGAAAGGCGGCCCCCUGGACAGAUACUGACACUCAGAUGCGAAAGCGUGGGGAGCAAACAGGAUUAGAUACCCCGGUAGGCUCUGC
Molecule: ribosomal RNA, 473 nt
Filed under: uncultured bacterium
Lineage: Bacteria
Description: bacterial SSU rRNA
Rfam family: Bacterial small subunit ribosomal RNA
Source: RNAcentral